CCUUCGAUAGCUCAGUUGGUAGAGCGGUGGACUGUAGAGGACAUACUCGUAGCUGAUAUCCAUAGGUCGCUGGUUCAAAUCCGGCUCGAAGGA
Molecule: transfer RNA, 93 nt
Filed under: Danaus plexippus plexippus
Lineage: Eukaryota; Metazoa; Arthropoda; Insecta; Lepidoptera; Nymphalidae
Rfam family: tRNA
About the family: Transfer RNA (tRNA) molecules are approximately 80 nucleotides in length. Their secondary structure includes four short double-helical elements and three loops (D, anti-codon, and T loops).
Source: Rfam by way of RNAcentral